RNAcentral lists this ribosomal RNA (325 nucleotides) under Bacillus sp. mrc49. Its description in RNAcentral is "bacterial SSU rRNA". It matches the Rfam family "Bacterial small subunit ribosomal RNA", at positions 388 to 705 of the family's 1533-position model. Lineage: Bacteria; Bacillati; Bacillota; Bacilli; Caryophanales; Bacillaceae. The record is from RNAcentral.
GGAGCAACGCCGCGUGAACGAAGAAGGCCUUCGGGUCGUAAAGUUCUGUUGUUAGGGAAGAACAAGUACCAGAGUAACUGCUGGUACCUUGACGGUACCUAACCAGAAAGCCACGGCUAACUACGUGCCAGCAGCCGCGGUAAUACGUAGGUGGCAAGCGUUGUCCGGAAUUAUUGGGCGUAAAGCGCGCGCAGGUGGGUCCUUAAGUCUGAUGUGAAAGCCCACGGCUCAACCGUGGAGGGUCAUUGGAAACUGGGGAACUUGAGUGCAGAAGAGGAAAGUGGAAUUCCAAGUGUAGCGGUGAAAUGCGUAGAGAUUUGGAGGA